RNAcentral lists this ribosomal RNA (545 nucleotides) under uncultured bacterium. RNAcentral describes it as "bacterial SSU rRNA". It matches the Rfam family "Bacterial small subunit ribosomal RNA", at positions 960 to 1509 of the family's 1533-position model. The record is from RNAcentral.
GACGAAAAACCUUACCCACCUUUGACAUGGCAGGAACUUACCAGAGAUGGUUUGGUGCUCGAAAGAGAACCUGCACACAGGUGCUGCAUGGCUGUCGUCAGCUCGUGUCGUGAGAUGUUGGGUUAAGUCCCGCAACGAGCGCAACCCUUGCCAUUAGUUGCUACGAAAGGGCACUCUAAUGGGACUGCCGGUGACAAACCGGAGGAAGGUGGGGAUGACGUCAAGUCCUCAUGGCCCUUAUAGGUGGGGCUACACACGUCAUACAAUGGCUGGUACAAAGGGUCGCCAACCCGCGAGGGGGAGCCAAUCCCAUAAAGCCAGUCGUAGUCCGGAUCGCAGUCUGCAACUCGACUGCGUGAAGUCGGAAUCGCUAGUAAUCGUGGAUCAGAAUGUCACGGUGAAUACGUUCCCGGGUCUUGUACACACCGCCCGUCACACCAUGGGAGCGGGUCUCGCCAGAAGUAGGUAGCCUAACCGCAAGGAGGGCGCUUACCACGGCGGGGUUCGUGACUGGGGUGAAGUCGUAACAAGGUAAGCGUAGUGCU